Long non-coding RNA from Microplitis demolitor, 1078 nucleotides. RefSeq lists it as uncharacterized. NCBI's taxonomy places the organism in Eukaryota, Metazoa, Arthropoda, Insecta, Hymenoptera, Braconidae. The record is from RefSeq and is a predicted model, not a curated record. The transcript has 2 exons.
CAUACUGAAAUUUUACGUUGAAAUAUUUAUAUAAUACUUAAAAGUUAUGCAGUAUUUUUUGAAAUAAAUUUUCGAGUUUUUCAAUCGUUUUCCAUGACCUUUAAAUAUUGAUAUUGACUUAAAAUUCGAGUGUGUUUCUCUGCGGCUUACAUAGAAAAUAUUAAACAAGCGAAGAAUUGAAGAUUUUGAAAAAAGAAUUGGUUUUUAUUGAUUUUCGAAAUUUAUAAAAUUUAUAAAUGACCUCUGAAAAAUUUAUUUAUGAUUUGAUACUUGAAGAAGAGUCCUUAAAUACUUCAGACCAAUAUUUCUGUGUGUGAGUAUCAAAAAAGAAGAAAAGUCAAAAAAAUAUUUCCAUCCUAAUAUAUUGCCCUCACUAUUAUGGAAAAUUGCUUUAUUUAAUUAACCAUAAAAUAAAAAAAGAAUAUGCAAAUAAAAAUUGAGUUAAUUGGAGCGAGAUCUUUAUUCACGUGGGUGAAUUCUUUCGAAUGAAUCAACAUUUUUCUUUUUAUUUUUAUUUUUUUUUACUUUUUUUCAAUAAGCUUUAAGUUUAUCCCUGGCUUAUAUCCUGAUUAGACUGACAAAAAAAAGCUGAGGAAGGUAUAAACUAAAAAACCAAGUGCUGACAAGCGGAAGUAGAGAAAAUAAGUCACUCGAAUUUAAAAAUAUUUUUUUAUAUAUUUCUUGUUAUAAAUUAUUACAUUUUAUCACUGAUAUAAAAAAUUUUUACUGAUUUAUUAUUUUUUUUUCCAACAUAUUUAUAUAAAAGGGGAAAAAAAAAUUUUCAACGUCAUCUAAUAAUAUUGAGUUUAAAAAAUAACCAAGUAAUCUUGCGUGUUUGAUCGAUAAUCGUUAGUUUGAUUGAAGAAUGAUAAUGCAAACAAUGAGACUGCCAUAUUGAUGAUGGUACCGUCUGGCACAUGUGUAUGACCAUUUAACUAAUACAAUUGUUAAAUAAAAAAAAAAUAUACACCUAUAUACACAUAUAUUUAUUUACACAUACGUAUUAUAAAUUGUUAUAAAAUAUCUAAACUAUACUGUACAUGUAUAUUAUAAUAUAUUAAAUAAAUAUUCAAAGGUA